Molecule: ribosomal RNA, 506 nt
Filed under: uncultured bacterium
Lineage: Bacteria
Description: partial 16S ribosomal RNA
Rfam family: Bacterial small subunit ribosomal RNA
Source: RNAcentral
GAUGAACGCUAGCUACAGGCUUAACACAUGCAAGUCGAGGGGUAACGAGAGGAAAGCUUGCUUUCCUUGUCGACGACCGGCGCACGGGUGAGUAACGCGUAUCCAACCUGCCCCCAACUAAGGAAUAACCUUGCGAAAGUAAGACUAAUACCUUAUAAUUUCCUCAGAUGUCAUCUGACGAGGAAUAAAGAUUUAUCGGUUGUGGAUGGGGAUGCGUCUGAUUAGCUUGUUGGCGGGGUAACGGCCCACCAAGGCAACGAUCAGUAGGGGGUCUGAGAGGAAGGUCCCCCACAUUGGAACUGAGACACGGUCCAAACUCAUACGGGAGGCAGCAGUGAGGAAUGUUGGUCAAUGGGCGGAAGCUUGAACCAGCCAAGUAGCGUGCAGGAUGACGGCCCUAUGGGUUGUAAACUGCUUUUAUACAGGAAUAAAGUUAGCCACGUGUGGUUAUUUGUAGGUACUGUAUGAAUAAGGACCGGCUAAUUCCGUGCCAGCCGCCGCAGUAA